Molecule: unclassified non-coding RNA, 403 nt
Filed under: Hevea brasiliensis (rubber tree)
Lineage: Eukaryota; Viridiplantae; Streptophyta; Magnoliopsida; Malpighiales; Euphorbiaceae
Source: RNAcentral
AAUGCUUUGAGGAACUUGUUUUAAAGAUUUUAGAAACACCAAGUCUGUUGGCUGAAGGCUCUAGUGGUGUGAAAAAGAACAUCUUCAAAGAGAAACCUCCACAGGAUGUUCCAACUAGUAGUUGUUGCUCAUGGUGAUUACAUACUAUUGUUCUUGCUACCCUUGUUGAAGAAGUUACCUCUGAUUCCCCUUCGAUAUGAUCAUCCUUGGACCGUGAACUAUACAUUAGUUACAAAAUGGCAAUGUUUGAUGUGAUUUUUAUGUUCUUCUUCUUUACAUGGGCAGAUUAAUGUAUCCUUGUCAUGUCAUGGCACAUGGAUUUCUCUUAUUUCCCCUAUGCCCAUUCUUUUUUUUAAAAAUGAAGUGAAUUGAACGAAUGGGCAUAGGGGAAAUAAGAGAAAUC